GACAUUCAUUACCAAAUUACUUCACAUGGCUGAUGAGAAAGGGAUGAAAUUUUCUGAGCCAGUUGCUGCAUUUGGUGUAUGGAAACCCUGUCCUGAGCAAGAUUUUACAAGGCUUAAGCAGGAAUACUCAAACCUACAAUUGGUAUUAGUUAUCUUAGGAAGAGGAGGUGAUCUUUAUGCUCAUAUCAAGAGGACAGGGGACACUGAAGUUGGUAUAUUGAGCCAGUGUGUUCAAGCAACAAAUGUGACUGCAAUUAAACCACAGACACUUGGAAACAUUCUCCUGAAGAUCAAUGCAAAGAUGGGUGGUAUUAACAAUGUUCUUUCAAGAACUGGAAUGCCUAUGAUAUUAGAAAGACCUGUUAUGAUUAUGGGUGCAGAUGUAAAUCAUCCAUCAGCUGGAGAUGGAGAAUCCCCGUCCAUGGCUGCAGUUGUUGCCUCAUAUGAUAGGUUUGCCUCCAAAUUUUCUGUAGAAGUGAGACCUCAGCCACAUCGUGUGGAAAUAAUUCAAGAUCUAAAGGAAAUGACCAAAAACUUGUUAAGGUCAUUCUUCAUUUACACAAAAGGACAUAAGCCCGAAAGAAUUGUUAUGUAUCGUGAUGGAGUUAGUGAGUCUCAGUUUCAAGAAGUAUUGUCAUAUGAGCUGAAAGCUAUGCGAACAGCUUGUACUGAAACAGAAGUUGACUACACACCUGGCAUCACUUUCUUAGUGGUUCAAAAGCGGCAUCAUACAAGAUUGUUCUGUGAGGACAGAGAUGGUGUUGGGUAUUCAAGGUACCAGCAAACCAACUCAUUACCAUAUUCUGUGGGAUGACAAUGAUAUGACAAUGGAUGAUAUACAGAUGCUAACCUACAGUUUAUGCCAUCUGUACUUUCGUUGUACAAGAUCUGUCUCCCUUCCAAGCCCUGCGUACUAUGCUCAUUUGGCUGCUUUCAGGGCAAAAGUACACAUCUCAGAAUUGUCUGAAAGGGAUGGAGAUGGUAUGACUCAGGAAGAAAUUAAGUGUGUUGCUACAGUUGAACAGAAAAAUGCACUCUCAA
This 1041-nucleotide unclassified non-coding RNA is filed under the name Homarus americanus (American lobster). RNAcentral describes it as "protein argonaute-2-like, transcript variant X3". Lineage: Eukaryota; Metazoa; Arthropoda; Malacostraca; Decapoda; Nephropidae. The record is from RNAcentral.